GGCGAAUAUAACUUAGUAGGUCAAAGUGUCAGACUGUGAAUCUGAAAACACGGGUUCAAAUCCCGUUAUUCGCC
RNAcentral lists this transfer RNA (74 nucleotides) under Nephroselmis olivacea. RNAcentral describes it as "tRNA-His". It matches the Rfam family "tRNA". Rfam says of the family: Transfer RNA (tRNA) molecules are approximately 80 nucleotides in length. Lineage: Eukaryota; Viridiplantae; Chlorophyta; Nephroselmidophyceae; Nephroselmidales; Nephroselmidaceae. The record is from RNAcentral.